GAUCCUGGCUCAAGAUGAACGCUGGCGGCGUGCUUAACACAUGCAAGUCGAACGGGAAACAUUUCAUUGAGGCUUCGGCGGAUUUGGUCUGUUUCUAGUGGCGGACGGGUGAGUAACGCGUGGGUAACCUGCCUUAUACUGGGGGAUAACAGCCAGAAAUGGCUGCUAAUACCGCAUAAGCGCACGGGGCCGCAUGGUCCUGUGUGAAAAACUCCGGUGGUAUAAGAUGGACCCGCGUUGGAUUAG
RNAcentral lists this ribosomal RNA (246 nucleotides) under uncultured bacterium. Its description in RNAcentral is "partial 16S ribosomal RNA". It matches the Rfam family "Bacterial small subunit ribosomal RNA", at positions 15 to 244 of the family's 1533-position model. The record is from RNAcentral.